This 253-nucleotide ribosomal RNA is filed under the name uncultured bacterium. Its description in RNAcentral is "partial 16S ribosomal RNA". It matches the Rfam family "Bacterial small subunit ribosomal RNA", at positions 524 to 776 of the family's 1533-position model. The record is from RNAcentral.
UACAGAGGUCUCAAGCGUUGUUCGGAUUCAUUGGGCGUAAAGGGUGCGUAGGCGGCGUCGUAAGUCGGGUGUGAAAUCUCGGGGCUUAACUCCGAAAUUGCAUUCGAUACUGCGGUGCUUGAGGACUGGAGAGGAGACUGGAAUUCACGGUGUAGCAGUGAAAUGCGUAGAUAUCGUGAGGAAGACCGGUGGCGAAGGCGGGUCUCUGGACAGUUCCUGACGCUGAGGCACGAAGGCCAGGGGAGCAAACGGG